AGAGUUGUGCCUGAAUAAUAGGGUUACUUUGAUAGAGUAAAUCAUGAGGGUUAAAAUCCUUCCAACUCUU
This 70-nucleotide transfer RNA is filed under the name Epiplatys dageti (redchin panchax). Its description in RNAcentral is "tRNA-Ile". It matches the Rfam family "tRNA". Rfam says of the family: Transfer RNA (tRNA) molecules are approximately 80 nucleotides in length. Their secondary structure includes four short double-helical elements and three loops (D, anti-codon, and T loops). Lineage: Eukaryota; Metazoa; Chordata; Actinopteri; Cyprinodontiformes; Nothobranchiidae. The record is from RNAcentral.